Molecule: ribosomal RNA, 486 nt
Filed under: uncultured bacterium
Lineage: Bacteria
Description: partial 16S ribosomal RNA
Rfam family: Bacterial small subunit ribosomal RNA
Source: RNAcentral
GACGAACGCUGGCGGCGUGCUUAACACAUGCAAGUCGAACGCUGAAGACCUGGCUUUUGUUGGUUUGGAUGAGUGGCGAACGGGUGAGUAACACGUGAGUAACCUGCCCUCUUCUUUGGGAUAACGCCCGGAAACGGGUGCUAAUACUGGAUAUUCACUGAUCUUCGCAUGGGGGUUGGUGGAAAGGUUUGUUCUGGUGGGGGAUGGGCUCGCGGCCUAUCAGCUUGUUGGUGGGGUGAUGGCCUACCAAGGCUUUGACGGGUAGCCGGCCUGAGAGGGUGACCGGUGACAUUGGGACUGGGACACGGCCCAGACGCCUACGGGAGGCAGCAGUGGUGAAUAAUGCACGAUGGGCUAAAGCCGGAUGCAGCGGCGCCGCGUGAGGGAUGGAGGCCUGCGGGUUGUAAAUCUCUGUCGCGCAAGGUCAAGCCGCAACUGUGGGUUGUGGUGAGGGUAGUGGGUAAAGAAGCGCCGGCUAACUACGUG